UACCGGCACCCCGAGUGGUCGGGACGAUUAUUGGGCCUAAAGCAUCCGUAGCCGGUCAUGCAAGUCCUCCGUUAAAUCCAGCCGCUUAACAGAUGGGCUGCGGAGGAUACUACAAGGCUAGGAGGCGGAAGAGGCAAGCGGUACUCAGUGGGUAGGGGUAAAAUCCUCUGAUCCAUUGAAGACCACCAGUGGCGAAGGCGGCUUGCCAAUACGCGCUCGACGGUGAGGGAUGAAAGCUGGGGGAGCAAACCGG
This 253-nucleotide ribosomal RNA is filed under the name uncultured bacterium. RNAcentral's name for it is "partial 16S ribosomal RNA". It matches the Rfam family "Archaeal small subunit ribosomal RNA", at positions 474 to 727 of the family's 1478-position model. The record is from RNAcentral.